Molecule: RNase P RNA, 388 nt
Filed under: Fidelibacterota bacterium
Lineage: Bacteria; Pseudomonadati; Fidelibacterota
Description: RNase P RNA component class A
Rfam family: Bacterial RNase P class A
About the family: Ribonuclease P (RNase P) is a ubiquitous endoribonuclease, found in archaea, bacteria and eukarya as well as chloroplasts and mitochondria. Its best characterised activity is the generation of mature 5'-ends of tRNAs by cleaving the 5'-leader elements of precursor-tRNAs. Cellular RNase Ps are ribonucleoproteins.
Source: RNAcentral
UGAGUCGGUCGGAUGGUUACCCUGACACGGGNGUUAGGGAGGAAAGUCCGAGCACCGCAGGACAGGGUGCCCCAUAACAAGAGGAGUCCGCAAGGAUAUGGAAAGUGCAGCAGAAAACAGACCGCCCCGACACUUGAGUCGAGGUAAGGGUGAAAAGGAGGUGUAAGAGACCCCCAGUCCUUAUAGCAAUAUUAGGAGCUUGCAAACCCCACCNGGUGCAAGAUCGAAUAGGCUUCAAGGUGUGUGAUCCGCAUCAUUGUUUUUACAACAGAAGAAGCGGGUAGAUUGCAUGAUCCCGACGGAAACGCCGGGACNAGGUGAAUGACUAUCAAUCGGGUUUCAUAAAGAUUCCUGAGAACAGAACUCGGCUUACAGACCGACUCAAUCU